AUUGAACGCUGGCGGCAGGCCUAACACAUGCAAGUCGAACGAGAGGCGGACGGGUGAGUAAUGUCUGGGAAGAUGCGCGCGGGAGAGGGAUAACUACUGGAAACGGUAGCUAAUACAGCAUACACUCGGAUGUGCCCAGAUGGGAUUAGCUUGUAGGUGGGGUAACGGCUCACCUAGGCGACGAUCCCUAGCUGGUCUGAGAGGAUGAACAGCCACACUGGAACUGAGACACGGUCCAGACUCCUACGGGAGGCAGCAGUGGGGAAUAUUGCACAAUGGGCGCAAGCCUGAUGCAGCCAUGCCGCGUGUAUGAAGAAGGCCUUCGGGUUGUAAAGUACUUUCAGCGGGGAGGCGUUACCCGCAGAAGAAGCACCGGCUAACUCCGUGCCAGCAGCCGCGGUAAUAC
Molecule: ribosomal RNA, 406 nt
Filed under: uncultured bacterium
Lineage: Bacteria
Description: partial 16S ribosomal RNA
Rfam family: Bacterial small subunit ribosomal RNA
Source: RNAcentral